UAAGCAUAUCAAUAAGCGGAGGAAAAGAAACCAACAGGGAUUACCUCAGUAACGGCGAGUGAAGCGGUAACAGCUCAAAUUUGAAAUCUGGCUCUUUCAGGGUCCGAGUUGUAAUUUGUAGAAGAUGCUUCGGGUGUAGCUCCGGUCUAAGUUCCUUGGAACAGGACGUCAUAGAGGGUGAGAAUCCCGUAUGUGACUGGUUGCUUUCGCCCAUGUGAAGCUCUUUCGACGAGUCGAGUUGUUUGGGAAUGCAGCUCUAAAUGGGUGGUAAAUUUCAUCUAAAGCUAAAUAUUGGCCAGAGACCGAUAGCGCACAAGUAGAGUGAUCGAAAGAUGAAAAGCACUUUGGAAAGAGAGUUAAACAGUACGUGAAAUUGUUGAAAGGGAAGCGCUUGCAACCAGACUUGCACCCCGUCGAUCAUCCCCCGUUCUCGGAGGUGCACUCGGCGGGGUUCAGGCCAGCAUCGGUUUCGGUGGUGGGAUAAAGGCCUUGGGAACGUAGCUCCUCUCGGGGAGUGUUAUAGCCCUCGGUGCAAUGCCGCCUACCGGGACCGAGGACCGCGCUUCGGCUAGGAUGCUGGCGUAAUGGUUGUAAGCGACCCGUCUUGAAACACGGACCAAGGAGUCUAACAUCUAUGCGAGUGUUUGGGUGUUAAACCCAUACGCGUAAUGAAAGUGAACGGAGGUGAGAACCCUUUAGGGUGCAUCAUCGACCGAUCCUGAUGUCUUCGGAUGGAUUUGAGUAAGAGCAUAGCUGUUGGGACCCGAAAGAUGGUGAACUAUGCCUAAAUAGGGUGAAGCCAGAGGAAACUCUGGUGGAGGCUCGCAGCGGUUCUGACGUGCAAAUCGAUCGUCAAAUUUGGGUAUAGGGGCGAAAGACUAAUCGA
RNAcentral lists this ribosomal RNA (886 nucleotides) under Cyathicula coronata. RNAcentral's name for it is "LSU rRNA". It matches the Rfam family "Eukaryotic large subunit ribosomal RNA", at positions 35 to 938 of the family's 3401-position model. Lineage: Eukaryota; Fungi; Ascomycota; Leotiomycetes; Helotiales; Helotiaceae. The record is from RNAcentral.